AAAUCAAAGUUAAUGCCACGUGCUGAUGGUCCCUUUAAGGCGUUAGAGAAAAUAAAUGAUAAUGCAUAUAAACUUGAGCUGCCUGCAGAUUUUGGGGUUAGUCCCACUUUUAACAUUGCAGAUUUGAAGCCUUAUUUGGGUGAGGAAGAUGAACUUCCGUCGAGGACGACUUCAUUUCAAGAAGGGGAGGAUGAUGAGGACAUCAAUACAAUUGUUACACCCACAGCCCCUGCUGCUAUACAUACUGGACCAAUUACUAGAGCUCGUGCACGCCAACUAAAUUACCAGGUACUUUCGUUUCUUGGUAAUGAUUUUAAUGUUCAUGAGAAUAUGAUGCUGCCUAAAUUGGAUACAUUUGUUUUGCUUACAGAUGAAGGGCCUAGCUUGGAGAAGGAUGAACAUUGGAGCAAGAACAAGCAUGGAGAUGAUGGCAUGCGCAAGGAGAACAAGAACGGAGUUACAAGUGAUGAUUUC
This 474-nucleotide ribosomal RNA is filed under the name Triticum aestivum (bread wheat). RNAcentral describes it as "partial small subunit ribosomal RNA". Lineage: Eukaryota; Viridiplantae; Streptophyta; Magnoliopsida; Poales; Poaceae. The record is from RNAcentral.